AUUUGUGAAGGAUUUUGUAAAUCUUAAAUUAGCUAGUAUUAUUAGUCAUAUUUAACUCUUCCUGGUCCCAUUUGGGGUUUUCUUGGCAAAGAUACUAGAAUGGCUUCUCAUUUCCUUCUCCAGUUCAUUUUACAGAUGAGGAAACUGAGGCAAACAGGGUGAAAUGACUUGCCUAGGGUCACACAUCUUGUUUCUGAGGACAUUAACUCCGGAAAAGGAGUCUGGUCCUGACUCUGGACCAGAUGCUUUAUCCACUGUGCCACCUAACUGCCACAGAAGGCCUUCAGCAGAGCAGUGGACAAGUUCAGAUAAGAAAACUGAGGACUGAAGUGAUGAAAUGACUUCCUUGAAGGUUACAAAGGUGGUAAGAGGAAGUUAGAAUAUGAAACCAGGACUUAUGAGAAAGAAUGCUAUCGACAUCUAAAGAAAGAACUGUUGGACAAAAAUUUGGAAAAUGAGGGGAUGCCCUUCAAUUGAGGAAUGGCUGAACAAAUUGUGGUAUCUGUUGGUGAUGGAAUACUAUUGUGCUCAAAGGAAUAAUGAACUGGAGGAAUUCCAUGUGAACUGUUCUGGGAGCCAUCAGACCAUGACUCCUUGACAGAGUCACACAUGGUAGCUGGGGAGACCACAGAGUGGUCCUCGGCGAGAUGUGAUUGCCCACCCAAUCCCUCUUCACAUGACCUCUUUCAUCAAUGCUCCUUACAUAUGAAUUGAUAUGAUUAUUAUUCCCCCUAGUCUCAAAAGAAAUAAUACAAGAGCAAAACACCUGUACCCUAAUUCCCCAAAACAUCACCAAAAGAUCAGACCUUAAAACCAAUCCCAAAAAGACUAUCAUGGAUUAACUUUUAUUUAGGUACAUAAUUCUCAGCAAAACUGCAGCUACAGACCAAGCCCAGAACUUCCCCACUCAUAGAAACCUAUUCUCAUGAAGCCAGCACACAAAUCAAUCAUAGAGGCCCAAACGAUAAGUUCAUCAAACUUCAGUAUGCCUCAGUGACUCGAUUACACAAAUCAGUAACUCAGAAACUCCCUAGAAGCCAUCAGUCUAAAUUUGAAUUAUGUUCCCAGUACCCCUCAGCCUCAAUGAUAUGAUUGUUGAAUUGUCUUUUGAGAACUGCUGAUUAAUUAUUCCAUUUUAUUAAAAGUAAUAAGUAAUUUUCCAUGAUUGUUUGUAAGCUCAAAACUUCUCACAGGGUAAUGAGAAAAUUAAGCCACCUGUGACAAAAUCAUUCAUCUGGUGUGCAACCUUUAUUCUGUCUUUAAUCCGAUACAAAAAUAUAGAAUGUUAAUCAAGUGAUUUGUUAAAAGUUAAUGUAUCACUUUUCCAAUUAUCUCUCUUUGAACAUGUGUGUUAGGUAAUGCAAUCUGCAUGCCAAGAAAAUGGGUAUAAAAAUAAAAAACAGACAUCGGGAUAGCA
This 1417-nucleotide long non-coding RNA is filed under the name Monodelphis domestica (gray short-tailed opossum). RNAcentral describes it as "lncRNA (ENSMODG00000047422.1)". The record is from RNAcentral. Lineage: Eukaryota; Metazoa; Chordata; Mammalia; Didelphimorphia; Didelphidae.